ACGAACCGUGCGAACGUUAUUCGGAAUCACUGGGCUUAAAGCGCGUGUAGGCGGAACGGCACGUCGGUCGCUGAAAGCCCCCGGCUCAACCGGGGAACGGGCGCCGAUACGACCGCUCUGGAGGAACGUAGGGGGAGCUGGAACUUCCGGUGGAGCGGUGAAAUGCGUUGAGAUCGGAAGGAACGCCCGUGGCGAAAGCGAGCUCCUGGACGUUUACUGACGCUGAGACGCGAAAGCCAGGGGAGCGAACGGGAUUAGAUACCCCGGUAGUCCUGGCCGUAAACGAUGGGCACUGGGUAGGGGGCUCGCCGAUGGGCUCCCUGCCGUAGGGAAACCGUGAAGUGCCCCGCCUGGGGAGUAUGGUCGCAAGGCUG
RNAcentral lists this ribosomal RNA (374 nucleotides) under uncultured bacterium. RNAcentral describes it as "bacterial SSU rRNA". It matches the Rfam family "Bacterial small subunit ribosomal RNA", at positions 525 to 896 of the family's 1533-position model. The record is from RNAcentral.